GACAUAGGUCGCAAACGUUAUCCGGAAUUAUUGGGCGUAAAGGAUGCGUAGAUGGUUCAAUAAGUUACUGGUGGGAAAUCGAGGCUCAACCUCGUGGAAGUCAGUAAUACUGUUGAACUUGAGUGCAGGAGAGGUUAACGGAACUUUAUGUGGAGCGGUAAAAUGCGUAGAUAUAUGAAAGAACAUCAAUAGGCGAAGGCAGUUAACUAUUCUGUUACUGACGCUGAGGCACGAAAGCGUGGGGAGCAAACAGG
RNAcentral lists this ribosomal RNA (254 nucleotides) under uncultured bacterium. RNAcentral's name for it is "partial 16S ribosomal RNA". It matches the Rfam family "Bacterial small subunit ribosomal RNA", at positions 524 to 776 of the family's 1533-position model. The record is from RNAcentral.